Molecule: non-coding RNA, 30 nt
Filed under: Mus musculus (house mouse)
Lineage: Eukaryota; Metazoa; Chordata; Mammalia; Rodentia; Muridae
Source: RNAcentral
UCAGGCCUAUCCUUUUAUUCUCAGUGUUGC